This 435-nucleotide ribosomal RNA is filed under the name uncultured bacterium. RNAcentral's name for it is "bacterial SSU rRNA". It matches the Rfam family "Bacterial small subunit ribosomal RNA", at positions 958 to 1392 of the family's 1533-position model. The record is from RNAcentral.
AACGCGAAGAACCUUACCAAGUCUUGACAUCCCCCUGACCGGAACUUAACCGUUCCUUUCCUUCGGGACAGGGGAGACAGGUGGUGCAUGGUUGUCGUCAGCUCGUGUCGUGAGAUGUUGGGUUAAGUCCCGCAACGAGCGCAACCCUUAUCCUUAGUAGCCAGCAGGUAGAGCUGGGCACUCUAGGGAGACUGCCAGGGAUAACCUGGAGGAAGGUGGGGAUGACGUCAAAUCAUCAUGCCCCUUAUGAUUUGGGCUACACACGUGCUACAAUGGCGUAAACAAAGAGAAGCAAGACCGCGAGGUGGAGCAAAUCUCAAAAAUAACGUCUCAGUUCGGAUUGCAGGCUGCAACUCGCCUGCAUGAAGCUGGAAUCGCUAGUAAUCGCGAAUCAGAAUGUCGCGGUGAAUACGUUCCCGGGUCUUGUACACACCG